AAUCAACGCUGGCGGCGUGCCUAACACAUGCAAGUCGAACGCGGUUACCCCGCAAGGGGUAACUGAGUGGCGAACGGGUGAGUAACGCGUGGGUGACCUACCUUCGAGUGGGGGAUAACGUCCCGAAAGGGACGCUAAUACCGCAUAACAUCCUGCCUUUGAACAGGCGGUGAUCAAAGCCGGGGAUCGCAAGACCUGGCGCUUGAUGAGGGGCCCGCGUCUGAUUAGCUAGUUGGUGAGGUAAUGGCCCACCAAGGCAACGAUCAGUAUCCGGCCUGAGAGGGCGGACGGACACACUGGGACUGAGACACGGCCCAGACUCCUACGGGAGGCAGCAGUGGGGAAUUGUUCGCAAUGGGCGCAAGCCUGACGACGCAACGCCGCGUGGAGGAUGAAGGUCUUCGGAUUGUAAACUCCUGUUGCUCGGGACGAAUGGCUCCGGCCUAAUACGUCGGAGUGUGAUGGUACCGGGUGAGGAAGCCCGGCUAACUCUGUGCCAGCCGCCGCCGUA
This 511-nucleotide ribosomal RNA is filed under the name uncultured bacterium. RNAcentral describes it as "bacterial SSU rRNA". It matches the Rfam family "Bacterial small subunit ribosomal RNA", at positions 32 to 522 of the family's 1533-position model. The record is from RNAcentral.